UUGGUUCAUUGUUGUAUGUCUGCGUGUCUGUAUGCCAGUAUCUUUAGUUGGAUUUUGGAUUUUUGGUUGAUUUGGAUUUUGCCUCUUUGUUUUGCCAUUGGGAAGUUUUCUGUUGUACAUUUAAAGUCAGUUUUUGUUGCUUUUUAAUUAGUUCAUUUUGAAUGAAUCAUUUUUGUUCUGCAUUUUGGUCUUCUUUUUGUUUAACUCCGGUACGUGACAAUCAAUGCUGGAUUUUUGUGAUCCUCAGGCCCUCUGGGAGCAUAGUGUUGGAAACGGGCUUGACUCUGAAGUGGAAAACACGGCAUGUGCUCAAAUACGCUUUAAGCCGCCAUAAAGAGGAAAACUUGUAAACUUGAUCCAGAAACAUUGGAGACUUCUCUGACUUCUUAUGAUGGACAGAGGUGAAGUGACAAGACUGUGCUGUCUUCAAAUUAAACAUUCAUCAAGGAAAUCAAGGAUACUGUGUCCACCUUUUAUAAGAG
This is a non-coding RNA of Xyrichtys novacula (pearly razorfish), 482 nucleotides long. The record is from the annotation of a GenBank genome assembly. Lineage: Eukaryota; Metazoa; Chordata; Actinopteri; Labriformes; Labridae.